Vespula vulgaris is the source of this 5423-nucleotide long non-coding RNA. RefSeq lists it as uncharacterized. The transcript is spliced from 4 exons. The record is from RefSeq and is a predicted model, not a curated record. NCBI's taxonomy places the organism in Eukaryota, Metazoa, Arthropoda, Insecta, Hymenoptera, Vespidae.
AAAAUCGCCAUCUAUGGCUUGUUCAACGAAAUGAGUUAGGAGAUGCAAAUGAAAUAAUUAUGUACUAAAAGUGUGAAAAAUGAACGGGACACCAGCUAUUGGUUGGCGAAUGAUAGUGUUGAAUACAGGAGUGAAUUUUCAUAGGUUUUCUGUCGAAAAAAUGUUGUAAUAUCUGAAGAUUUAUGGUUACCUACACCGAGAUUCUUCUGAUGUCAUCAAGAUCAAAGAAACAGAAAAUUACAUGAUUAAUUUUUUUAAUAUAUAAUAGAAAUUAUAUAAAUAAACAUAUUAUAACGCAAAUCAGAUAAAUAAAAUCGUAUGUAUUAAAUUGUUUAAUAUGAAUACAUAUACAUAUUAAUUAAUAUAUAUACACAUAUAGGGUGAUUCAGUAAGUCUAUGACAAAGCGAUAUCUCCGUUAUUUUGAAUGAUACGAAAAAAUUCCGAAGGAAUGAAUUGUUUAUUUCAAAGAAGUAUAUAUUACGAUGUAAAUAAAUUCUUUCUUAAGAUGAUUCUUUUUAAUAUUUCAAGAUUAUCAAGAAAAUUAAAAAAAAAAAAAUAGAAUUAUAUAUUAUCAUCAUUGAGACAUAAUAAAUCAAAACGAAUUUAACGAUCAAUAAUUUUAUGAUCUUCACAUAACCUUCAAUUUAAUCUAAAUUAUCCCUUUGAAUCGAACAAUUCGUUCCUUCAGCAAUUCCUCGUAUCAGUAAUAAAACUAACGGAAAGAUCACUUUGUAGCAGAAUUAUUGAGAUACCGUGUAUACAUAAUACAUACAUACACACAACACACACAAUUUUAAUUUUAAUUUUAAUUUUACAAAUUUUAUUUACUUUAAUUUAUUAAUUUUAUACAAUUUAUAUACAAUUAUUAUUUACAACUAAGAAUUUAAAUAAAAAUGUGCUAGUGGAUUAAUUGUGAGACUUAUAAUUACGUACUUGAAAAGAUGUCAUGUUGAAAAAAAAAUAACAAGUAAAAAUAAAAAAUAGUGUAUAGAAUGUAGAUAAUAGAUAAAAUAAAGAAAAUGUAUAUAAGUUUACAGAUACUUUUAAUCUCAAGUAAUUAAGAUGAGGUUAGAAAUAUAUAGAUUUAACUAUCGGAAUUACUGAAGCACAGUAAACCAAUAGGUGGACAUUUAUUAAAAUCAAAAAGAGAAAACAGAACUUAGUGCAGUUUUUAUGUAAUAUGAGAACAACUAUAAAUUUGGAGAAGGAUGAAAAACAUAAGAAAAAGUUAGAUGGACUUAGAAGUCCAUCUUUAGAAAUCAAAAUGAUUAACUCUAUCAAAUAAAAAUAAAAAAAAAAAAUAAAAAUUAAUAAACUUGCACAAUGAUUUAAAAAAUUUUUUGUGAAUGAUAUGAACAAAUAAAAAUUGCAAAAUUUAUAAUUAAAUAUAUAUAAUAUUUAUAAUCUAAUGUAUAUAAUAUAUAAAACAUAUAUAUCAAAUUAAUUUCUGAAAUGUUAUUUAUUAUUCAGUAAAAACCAAAAUUUUUACCAUAUUAAGGUGAUGAAUAGAUACUAUCAAAAUAAUUUAUUUAUUUAUAUUUAAUUGAAUACUUAUGCAUGUUUUUUGGUAUUCAAGUUAGAAAAAUGAUCAAAGAUGGAGUUAAUCAAUUUAAUCCAUUGACAUACUGAUUUUUUACCAGAAAAGAUAGAUAAAGAAUAAAAGUAUAUAGAAAUGAAAAGAAUAUCAAUAAUUAACUACUUUGUAACAAAUUGGAAAGGACUUCUAAAAAUAGAAAAAUUACAAAUAUAAGAGGAUUAAUUAUACCUAUAGUAAUUUGUUAUAAGAAUCUGUAAAAUGUAAAAAUAAGGGAAAAUGAUAAAAGAGGUAUAUUUAGAAGAAAAACAAUUGUUUUAAUAAGUUCACAUAGGAAAGGAAAAGAAAAGAAAGAAAUAAGAAAUACAAAUUUGUAAUAGAAAUAUGAAAAUAUAUUCAUAGAGAUGAUUUUUAGUGUUGAAAGAAUAAAGAAUAGAAUGGAAAGUAAGUUUUCUUACUAGGUAAAAAGUAGAUAUAGUAACGAAAAAACUAGGGAGGCAGAGGGAAAAAGGUUUAAAAAGUAAAAGAAAUAUGAAAAGAUGAUAAAGAAGUGCAUAAAUCUUUGGAAAAAUAGAGGAAUAAAAAUAAAUUAAUUUUUAGGACAAACAUGGUACAAUAGAAGAUGUUAAGAAACAGGAAAAGAACAAGAAACAGGUGGUGAUGGUGUAAAUGAAAAAAUAGGGAAGAGGUUAAAAAAUGAAAAAUUGCCUUAAUGCGGAGAAAAAUAAUGUGAAAAAGAUGGAGAGUGAAAUAGAAAAUAAAACGCUAGAGAGAAUAAAUAAAAGAAAGGAAAAUAAAAGGAAAAUCAAGAAAUUAAUAUUGAAUUUACCAAUUAGUUAAAAUGAUUGAUUUCAACUGUUAUUAUAAAAGUUGCUAUUUUAAAUUUCAUCACGUUUUUUCUCAAGAUAUUACGACUUUUUUAUUUUAUACAUAUAAUCAGUUUUAUAAUUUUCUUAUUUCUUUUGUUUUUCCAAAGAUACAUAUUAUAGAAAUACAGAUGAUAAGGGAAGAAGUAAAAAGAAAGAAGAAAAGAGAGUUUGUGGGAGAAAUAGGAAGAUUGGUAGUAUAAGAAUGAGAUGUUAAUACAUUGAAUGUCAUGUUGGUCAUCUAUGACCGAAGAUUAUUUCCUUAACGGAGCCAUGAUGGUUAUUAGUGACUGCAGUACUUUAAAUGUUUCUUAUUACUUUGUCAUUAUAUGUUUAGAAUAUUGAAAAUUCUCAUGCAGCCCUGAAAACAUCAUUUAAAUUUGAAUAAUGAAGAUUAUUUUAUGCAACUUUUGAGAAGAGUUAUAGAAAAUAGAAAAGUAGAAGGCAUAUAAUAAGGAUGAAAUAGAAUUAACAGAAGGAGUAAUCGACGUUUACAUAAAAAAACUAGAUUACAAAUAAGAUAUGGAUUUUCUACAGUAUUUCAAUAAGAAAAAAUUAAAGAAAUUGAUUACAAAAGUCUAGAAUAGAGAAAGAAGGCUUUCUGCAAAAAUGAAGAGAAGGAAUUAGCUUAUCUUUACAUAAUAAAUUCAAGUAGGGUAAUUCAAAUAACUAUAGAGAUAUUAUUUUUCUAAGCAAUGCACGUAAGAUCUAUGCACUUAUGUUAAAGGAGAUUUGACAAAGGGAUAGAAAACAAGAAAAUUCAGUUAGAAAAAUCGAAUCCAUAAUAGAUAAUAUUUAUAUCCUGCAAUAUAUAAUAAAAAAAGAAGUAGGAAUGUAGAAGAGAUAAACAAGAUUAAUUGAAAUAAUAAAGGAAAUCUAUGUGGGUAAAGAAACAUACUUAAAGAUGAUAACAAACUAUUAGUGAUUAUGAAUAGAAACCUGUUAGAAGGUUUUCGGAAAAUAAAUGAAAUGAGACAAGGAUACCUAAUUAAAAAUACUCUCUUCAUUAUAUUCAUUUUGGGCAUGAAAGAGAAAAGAACUAUGUUGUAUCAUUAACAUGAUAAUUUGAUAGCCAAAUAUAGAGAAAUAAGUGAUUGAUGAAACAUAAAAUAAUGAAGACAUUAAAUGAAUUCUUGGCACCAACUAAUUCAAAACUAUGGUAUUCUGCAAAACAAAAAUAAAAAGAGUAAACGAAGAAACAAAUGAUUGAAUAAGUUCAAGAAGUUAAAGAAUGAACAAAUUAAACAUGUAUAAAAGUUAUUGAAGAAAAUGAAUGUCUUAAUAAAAAAAAAAGUAUCUUCAAGGAUGAUUUUAACAAAAAAAUGAAUGUAGGACUGGGUAAAUAAUAUUUGUUAGAAGUGUGUAGUAUGUUAGCAUACAACUUAUGUCAUUACGUUUUGCUGUUCGAAGAACAUUUUUUUGAAAAUAAAUUAUUUUUAUGGUUUUUAAUAGUGGAAUAGUUAAAGAAUGUUGGAAGAAACAUGGAAAAAAGUAAGAAAUUAAGAAAAAGAAAUAAAAAUUCGGAUAAAAAUUAAAGACUAGCAGAAUAAAUAAAAUAGUAGCAGAAAGAAGAGUAGAGAACAGAUUACACAGUAAAAGUGACUACUACUAUUAUACUAUUAUUGCUAUGUCAUUGAUGGUUUCUAUCUCAAGAAUGAGAUGUCCUAUUAGAGGCUUUGAAAAAAGAUUAAAAUUAAAAAAUUUUUUUAUAAACGAUUGACGGAGAUGAAAUAAAUUUGUUUUUACUUAAUGUAUAUGUAUUGAGAACAUUAAAAAAAAAUUAUUCGAGAAUAUCGAAAAACAAAAAAAUAUGAGUUUUUUUUUUGCAAAUUUUUUUGGUCCAAUUAAAAACUAAAUGGACUAUUCAAAUUAAUUAAUAAAUAUAAGUCAAUGACGAUAACUGAUUUUUGAAAUCAAUUUUCUUUGCAAAAUGGUAGUGAAUUGAAAAUUAAGCAUGGAAAAUCUAUGAAAAAAAGUUAUUUUUACAUUUAUCUUGUCCAAUCUAUCUGAAUAUUUGAUUUACGAAAAAGACUUGUAAAUAUUAAAAUUGUUUAGUUAUUUCUUAAUGAAAUUCUUUAUUUAUUUCAAAAUUUGAAGAAAGAUAUUAAGGCUAUUCAUCAUCUUUGGUUUUAUAAUGAUUUAUACUAAAAAUCAGAACAGGCUAAUUUUGUUAACUAGUUUUGAUGAACGAUUUAAAGACGAAAAUUUAAUCUAGGAUCUUACUUCAUCGAAUUUUUGAAAAAGCUUUAUUUUCUUUGAAAAAAAUCGUGUUAAAAAAUGGUAUGUUUUCAAGAAUAUUUUAUACAUAAAUAUAAAGCUUUUUCAAAAAUUCGAAAAGCAGGGUCUUGAAUUAAACCAUUCUAUUUAAAAUAAGAUCUUAUUUAUCAAAAUCGGUCAAGAAUUACGUUUAUUCUCAUAAUUGGCAUAAAUAUUAUUUUUCACAUUUUUGAUAAAGAAAUUUUUGGUAAAGAUUUGUAAUUGAAUUGUAGGUCGAGACCAUUAGUUUUUUUUUUCUUGUAUCGAUGUAAAUGAAAAUAAUCAACUAAUUUAGAGUAAAAUAAAAAUUGAAUUUAAAUAAUUCAAAUUUUAUUUAAUUUUAAAUUAAAAUGAUAAAUUAAAUCAAUUUAAUUUUAAAUCGAUAGUAUCACGAAAUCUAUUUAUCUAAUGGAUAAAUAAUAAAGGGUUGUUCCGCAUUUCAUAUUAUCGAAAGGUUUUAUGUUCUCAUGGUUAAAUUUUUAAACCUCUAUGUAUUCAACGCGGUUAUUCUUAAAUCCAUUAUAUCACGUGCUUUAUUUCUUAUAUCUAAACAGUUGAUUAUCGUUUUUGUGACUUACGACUAUGAUGAAUAAAUCUAUGUUCCUGUAAAUGUCAUUUUCAAAUAUCUUUAACUUGACAUACUCCAUUACUCCAUAUACUUUGAAAUUAUCUCUAUUAGAAAUGGAAAAUUUGUAAACCUUAAUCACAUUCCCAUAAACUCUGUAGAAGUAAAGAAUAUGAUAUAUAUUAAAGUAUGUUUAUUUUA